This is a long non-coding RNA of Gadus morhua (Atlantic cod), 1614 nucleotides long. RefSeq lists it as uncharacterized. NCBI's taxonomy places the organism in Eukaryota, Metazoa, Chordata, Actinopteri, Gadiformes, Gadidae. The record is from RefSeq and is a predicted model, not a curated record. The transcript has 4 exons.
GUCGGUUCGGUAGUUUGGAUUACCCUGCUAGAAUCAGAGAUCUCUAAAAUAGAUCGUUUAUUUGAAAAUAAAAGAGAGAAAACUAUUUUUUAAAGCCUUUUCUGGAUAUCUCUGAUAUAGUGAAACUUCAGUGUAACUGCGUGUCGCGCGUGACCCCGCCACUCUAUCUCCAGCGCGAGGCCGAGCUGAUGGCCGAGCAGUGCACCGGGCAGAUGAGUUCAAUGUGACGGAGAAACCCACAGCCGUCGCACAGAGACACUCUCCUUUCUCCUCAGGAAGAAACUGGUGCCUGCUCCACAGUUUGUCAUCACGGUCCUGGUCUGAUAUGCUCCAUUUCGCCUCCUCUUGAUCAAUGAGAUGGAUAUGUACGUUUUACACGUACGUCACAAGAAAUCGUCGAAGAAUCCUUGAACACUACAGAUCCAGUCAUGGUCACUAUGGAAGAAGACUAGCUCUCCCCUGCAUUUACAGCGAUUGUGUGUGCUAUUUCCCAUCACAAAAGGCUCUCCAAACACAUAAUUCCAACCAAAGAAAAGAGGAUGUCAUUCUGAGGGGCCUGCCGUAUUUCCUCCGUGAAGAUCCUUCAAAGUUCCUCAGGACUGCAGAGCCCACAGACAUGGAGGACAGCAUGACUAGGGGAAUGAAUGUCGGCAUUGUCGUAGUCAAACAAGGAGAGGAUCUUCUUGACAUAUCGGUGGUCCUAGAGGAACAGAUCAUUCUGCAUGGAAUCAAGGACUACUCACAUGCAGUCGUUAUGUUAAUGGGGCUGCUAUAUGCACUGAACAUUGACUACCCGAAGGAGCUGCAAUACACCUUCGAAGUCAUUCAGAAGGUUCUCAUGAACAUCGGCAGUGAGAACUGCUCCAGGGUUCAUGGACUGAGGAAUAGACUUUUUCGUAAAACUGUGUAGACACUACACUGAGACUGAGAGUUUUCUUUUGAGUUCUGUUACUACUAUUCUGUUACUACUAUCUGUUACUAGUUCAUUACUUUUGUAAUGGUCAAUGACAUUCUCAGUUGCAAGAGUUGACAGAAGUAGACUGGGUUUGAGGUCUUUCCUGGAAAGUCUUUUUGACCUGUUUGGUUCUGCAUCAUUUUAUUUUAUAUAAAUUAUACUCAUUACGUCUGUCAUGUUAUGACAGACGUAAUGAGUAGAGAACUAAUUUUUGUUAUUCUAAAUGUGUUAUUGUAAUAUUCUAAAUAGGCACACACACACACACGGCUCUCUCAUUUUUUUUGUAUACAUCCCAUAUCUGCUUCCUCUGGUCUCAUCUCCCAUAUUGCUAAUUAAUGUUUUAUUUUCUCUUUAAUAAAACAGUGACACACACACACACCUCUGUUUAAAUAUUUCUCUCCCGCCUGCCUCACUUCCCCUCACUUCAUCUUGUCAUUGCCUGUCAGUAGGGAUCCUUCUCUUGCUGGUACUCAAUGGACGUAAUGAGUACUCAUUUGUGUUAUUCUAAAGAGGAGAUGUUUUACCCAUAAGCUUGUGCUGUUUUUGGGGACGUUUUGUACUUGAUGGGAUGUGUUGCUGUGUUUACCUUGCCCAUCUGGUUUAUUAAAGCUUUGAAGAAAUGUUAAGCUUGCUGGUAGUUCUACCAGGAGGACUCAAAU